RNAcentral lists this ribosomal RNA (497 nucleotides) under uncultured bacterium. Its description in RNAcentral is "partial 16S ribosomal RNA". It matches the Rfam family "Bacterial small subunit ribosomal RNA", at positions 28 to 507 of the family's 1533-position model. The record is from RNAcentral.
GAUCAACGCUGGCUGCUGGCCUAAUAUAUGCAAGUCGAGCUAAGAGACGAGUAGCUUGCUCCUCUAACGUUAGCGGCGGACGGGUUAGUAACACGGGGAUAACCUACCUAUAAGACUGGGAUAUCUGUGGGAAACCGGAGCUGAUACCGGAUGAUAUAUUCAACCGCAUUGUUCAAUAGUUAAAGCAGGUUUUCAUGUCACUUAUAGUUUGAUCCGGUCCGCAUUAGCUAGUUGGUCAGGUAACGGCUUACCAAGGCAACGGUGCGUAGCCGACGUUAGAGGGUGAUAGGCCACACUGGAACUGAGACACGGUCCAGAAUCCGACGGGAGGGAGCAGUAGGCAAUCUUCCGCAAUGGGCGAAAGCCUGACGGAGCAACGCCGGGUGAGUGAUGAAGGCAUUCGGAUCGUAAAACUCGGUUAUUAGGGAAGAACAAAUGUGUAAGUAACUAUGCACGUCUUGACGGUGCCUAAUAAGAGAGCAACGGCUAAGUACGUG